GUUAAAGAAUAAAAAGCAUCUAGCGGAGAAAAGAGGUUAUACAAGCUAUAGAGCAGUGCCUCGCUUUGCAGCUCUUUUCAAAUGUAUUCUGAUAAACUCUAACAAUGUGUUUUGGAGGGAAUUUAAAAAUGAUACUCUUAAACCCCUCCAUAUCCUAGAAAACCUCCACUGUAACUUGGGUUCUAUUCCUAUCCUUGACUGAGCAGGUAGUCUCUUCUUAAAGCUGGAGUGAGG
Molecule: non-coding RNA, 234 nt
Organism: Pelobates cultripes (western spadefoot toad)
Lineage: Eukaryota; Metazoa; Chordata; Amphibia; Anura; Pelobatidae
Source: the annotation of a GenBank genome assembly